This 466-nucleotide ribosomal RNA is filed under the name Vreelandella stevensii. Its description in RNAcentral is "partial 16S ribosomal RNA". It matches the Rfam family "Bacterial small subunit ribosomal RNA", at positions 338 to 795 of the family's 1533-position model. Lineage: Bacteria; Pseudomonadati; Pseudomonadota; Gammaproteobacteria; Oceanospirillales; Halomonadaceae. The record is from RNAcentral.
CCUACGGGCGGCUGCAGUGGGGAAUAUUGGACAAUGGGCGAAAGCCUGAUCCAGCCAUGCCGCGUGUGUGAAGAAGGCCUUCGGGUUGUAAAGCACUUUCAGUGGGGAAGAAAGCCUUGGGGCUAAUACCCUCGAGGAAGGACAUCACCCACAGAAGAAGCACCGGCUAACUCCGUGCCAGCAGCCGCGGUAAUACGGAGGGGUGCGAGCGUUAAUCGGAAUUACUGGGCGUAAAGCGCGCGUAGGCGGUCUGAUAAGCCGGUUGUGAAAGCCCCGGGCUCAACCUGGGAACGGCAUCCGGAACUGUCAGGCUAGAGUGCAGGAGAGGAAGGUAGAAUUCCCGGUGUAGCGGUGAAAUGCGUAGAGAUCGGGAGGAAUACCAGUGGCGAAGGCGGCCUUCUGGACUGACACUGACGCUGAGGUGUGAAAGCGUGGGUAGCAAACAGGAUUAGAUACCCGAGUAGUC